ACUCAAAGGAAUAGACGGGGACCUGCACAAGCGGUGGAGCGUGUGGUUUAAUUCGACAGUAAGCGAAGAACCUUACCCAGACUUGACAUCUCUAGAAGUCCCUGGAAACAGGGAUGUGCCGCAAGGAACUAGAAGACAGGUGCUGCACGGUUGUCGUCAGCUCGUGCUGUGAAGUGUCCCGUUCAGUCGGUUAACGAGCGCAACCCCUACCCUGUGUUGAAUUUCUCACGGGGAACUGCCCAGGUUAACUGGGAGGAAGGUGGGGACGACGUCAAAUCAGCGUGGCUCUUACGUCUGGGGCUACACACGCGCUACAAUGGGGAGUAACAAUGGGUUGCCAAGCCGCGAGGCGGAGCUAAUCCCACCAAACCUCCCCCCAGUUCGGAUCGAGGGCUGCAACUCGCCCCCGUGAAGUCGGAAUCGCUAGUAACGGCCGGUCAGCCAUACGGCCGUGAAUACGUUCUCAGGUCUUGUACACACCGCCCGU
RNAcentral lists this ribosomal RNA (487 nucleotides) under uncultured bacterium. RNAcentral's name for it is "partial 16S ribosomal RNA". It matches the Rfam family "Bacterial small subunit ribosomal RNA", at positions 899 to 1397 of the family's 1533-position model. The record is from RNAcentral.